GAUGAAGAACGUAGCGAAAUGCGAUAAGUAAUGUGAAUUGCAGAAUUCAGUGAAUCAUCGAAUCUUUGAACGCACAUUGCGCCCGCCAGUAUUCUGGCGGGCAUGCCUGUUCGAGCAUCAUUUCAACCCUCAAGCCCCCGGGCUUGGUGUUGGGGAUCGGCGUGCCCUCGCGGCGCGCCGUCCCCUAAAUCUAGUGGCGGUCUCGCUGUAGCUUCCUCUGCGUAGUAGCAACACUCGCACUGGAUCGCAGCGCGGCCACGCCGUUAAACCCCCCACUUCUGAAAGUUUGACCUCGGAUCAGGUAGGAAUACCCGCUGAACUUAAGCAUAUCAAUAAGCGGAGGA
RNAcentral lists this unclassified non-coding RNA (344 nucleotides) under soil metagenome. RNAcentral's name for it is "partial contains 5.8S ribosomal RNA, internal transcribed spacer 2, and large subunit ribosomal RNA". The stretch from base 1 to 120 matches the Rfam family "5.8S ribosomal RNA", at positions 35 to 154 of the family's 154-position model. The record is from RNAcentral.